CUCUCCUGUUGCAUCCGCCUGAACACUGCCCUUCAGCACUCCCCAACAGCCCCUUACAGCUGGCUUUGAAGAGGACCCAGGGGUCCCUCCAACCUUCAAAGCAGCACCCCUACUGCUAAAGUAGAAAGUGUUCUCCAGAGAUGGGGCCUCUGAAAGCCAUGAAGACAGAGUCAGGAAGGAACCUGGUGGAAAGAGUAAAUGCUGAAGUAAAAAUCUCUCCCUGACUUAGCAGAGCUGCUUCUAGCUGAACAGACUGAAGAAAUGCAGAGUAGGUCACUUCUACACUAAUCCCCUCCUCUAAACUUGCCCCGCUUUUGGUUUACCCAAAUACCCUCCUUGAACACUGAACCAGAAGCUGUAGGACUGCUGAGAGUGCCUGUGAAAUCCAAAGGCACAGAUAUGAGGUUGGAGCCAUGCAGAGGGACAUCUGGUAGACCAUGUCACUGUUCAGCAAUAUCUACUUCCCCUCCCUGAGUAAACACUAAAGUUUCCCACCUCAAUAAA
Chinchilla lanigera (long-tailed chinchilla) is the source of this 504-nucleotide long non-coding RNA. RefSeq lists it as uncharacterized. Lineage: Eukaryota; Metazoa; Chordata; Mammalia; Rodentia; Chinchillidae. The record is from RefSeq and is a predicted model, not a curated record. The transcript is spliced from 3 exons.